UGGGAACAGAGCCCGGUGGCCAGGCUGGGGCUCCUGGGUGCUGUCACCCUCCAGGUGACUCAGGGAGCAGGAUGAACACCAGCUGGGGGGGCACAGGAUCCCGGCCUCACUCCCAGCCUGCUUCCACCCGCUAUGGCAAGCUGUAAAACAUCCCCGUCCUUCGGUGCCUGCCAGAGGCACACAAGUUCCCUGUCCCCAUUGGGCCACCCCAGCAAGAUCCCCCAGAUGCUGCCGAUUGGGGCUGCUCCGAUUUGGGGUGCAGGGGGGCCAUGGGACAGCGACACGGUCACUUUCUGAGAGCAAAAUGCUGCUAAGUGCUUGCCACAGGCCCUAUGCCCAUGGACAGCUCAACCCCCUGGGAAAAAGCCAUCCCCAAAAUUCCUGGCCCGGGCCAUUUCUGCCAGAGCUUUCCCGACACCAGAGGGCUGCAAUAGGUGGAAGUGAUUGACUCACUAUGAGACUGCUGUUUUUGCCUCCGACUUGGGAUCAGGCAGAGCUACAGGAGCGGGGGAGCCGUGGCGCUGCCGCCCUGGGAGCAGGCACUUACCUCUCA
Long non-coding RNA from Cygnus olor (mute swan), 553 nucleotides. RefSeq lists it as uncharacterized. NCBI's taxonomy places the organism in Eukaryota, Metazoa, Chordata, Aves, Anseriformes, Anatidae. The record is from RefSeq and is a predicted model, not a curated record. The transcript has 3 exons.